UACACACACACACACACACACACACAGUAUUAGACCUGUCCUAUAGAGGAUGCUACCUAGAAUUUCAGGGAGUUCCAAAGCCAUUGUGUCAACAGGUGCAGAAAGAACUGACUCUAUGCCUGGAUCUUGCCAGAACUUUUGGGAUGGAGGCCUGAACUUUGGUCAUGAGAAGUGGGGAGAAUACCCUUUCACACUGUCCCUUACCGAGGGAGACCAACAAAUGACAGUAGAGUAUUCAUAGAAUGCCUCAUCCACCCCCACUCAGGGACAACUUCCUGGGAACUAAAACCCCUUUGAUGCAUCGUAACGAGCAGGUGUCAAAGGCCAUGAUUUACAACAUGGAAACUGAAGAGAAGAGCUGUCCUGAAUAUGUCCAAGACCACACAACCAUGAUAAGAAACCCCGUGUUCCUCCCCCGGCACCAGGGCACGAAAGUGAAUGUCCAUCUCCACCCUGCUUGGCGGCGGGGAGGAGGGGGAAGAAGAAGAAGGAGAAGGAGAAGAAGAAAAGCAGUUCUCUGAAGAAAAAUGCCCGUGUGCUAGAAGUCACAUGUCCCCAGUAUGUCUAACUUCUGAAAAGUAUUCCAAAGAAAGCAUUUGAAGACAAAGAAACACAUUCUCUGUGUUUUAGGGGACAUGUUGAAUGGAUAUUAGGCUUAUGCCUGAAAAUUACUCACAGACAAAAAGC
Molecule: long non-coding RNA, 687 nt
Filed under: Mustela putorius furo (domestic ferret)
Lineage: Eukaryota; Metazoa; Chordata; Mammalia; Carnivora; Mustelidae
Description: lncRNA (ENSMPUG00000031989.1)
Source: RNAcentral